UAUUUUCAAAGUGCCUAAUCC
This 21-nucleotide non-coding RNA is filed under the name Arabidopsis thaliana (thale cress). Lineage: Eukaryota; Viridiplantae; Streptophyta; Magnoliopsida; Brassicales; Brassicaceae. The record is from RNAcentral.